GAUGAACGCUGGCGGCGUGCCUAAUACAUGCAAGUCGAGCGAACGGACGAUAAGCUUUCUUCUCUGAUGUUAGCGGCGGACGGGUGAGUAACACGUGGAUAACCUACCUAUAAGACUGGGAUAACUUCGGGAAACCGGAGCUAAUACCGGAUAAUAUUUUGAACCGCAUGGUUCAAAAGUGAAACACGGUCUUGCUGUCACUUAUAGAUGGAUCCGCGCUGCAUUAGCUAGUUGGUAAGGUAACGGCUUACCAAGGCAACGAUGCAUAGCCGACCUGAGAGGGUGAUCGGCCACACUGGAACUGAGACACGGUCCAGACUCCUACGGGAGGCAGCAGUAGGGAAUCUUCCGCAAUGGGCGAAAGCCUGACGGAGCAACGCCGCGUGAGUGAUGAAGGUCUUCGGAUCGUAAAACUCUGUUAUUAGGGAAGAACAUAUGUGUAAGUAACUGUGCACAUCUUGACGGUACCUAAUCAGAAAGCCACGGCUAACUACGUG
Molecule: ribosomal RNA, 497 nt
Filed under: uncultured bacterium
Lineage: Bacteria
Description: partial 16S ribosomal RNA
Rfam family: Bacterial small subunit ribosomal RNA
Source: RNAcentral